This is a long non-coding RNA of Salvia splendens (bonfire salvia), 925 nucleotides long. RefSeq lists it as uncharacterized. The record is from RefSeq and is a predicted model, not a curated record. The transcript has 2 exons. NCBI's taxonomy places the organism in Eukaryota, Viridiplantae, Streptophyta, Magnoliopsida, Lamiales, Lamiaceae.
UCGAAAGCCUAAUCUAAUGGUUGGUGGCCUAAUGAUUUCUCCUUUACUAUUUCCAUCGUAUCCUCCUCCCUCUCUCUUCUCAACUUAAAUCAAAAUCCUUAGAACAGUAGACUCCAUUCACUCUCUUCUUCUUACCAACAAAACGCAACACCGCCGCUGGUGGACACGCACAGGCGGCGGUCUCUCCGCUGCGGCUUCCCCUCGGCAAACUCUCAUCUCUCUCUUUCUCACUUUCGUCGGCUCUGUUGAUCUCCCUCUCAUCUCUCAAUUCGAAAUUUCUCCCAAUUUUAGAGACCCAAUUUGCUGACCUCCGCCGUCAGCUUAGGGCCGCCAUCAUCGGCUCCGGCUACUUGGUUCUAUCAGCCCUUACUCCUCACUCGUCGGCUGCGAGGCUCCGAUUCUCCUCUGUACUCACAACAGCGUCUGCUCUCCGCCGCUGCUUCUUGGUGAAACAGAGCCGUCGCCACCGAUCGAAGCUGCCACGGUGACGCCCCCUCUGUCAGGUUCGAGUUUGAGUAGCCCUUUCUCGGCCUCUGCCCCUACUGAUGCCUCGCACGAACAGCUACUGCCUCACCGCUGUCAAGUGCCGUUGCUGCCCCGAUGAGUCCGUGGAUAGGCUGCCAUUUUUUUUGGAGCUUUGUGGAGGUUGGAUCGAGAGAGAAGAUAGUAGAACAUGCUCACCUCAUCUUCCAUGUCCAUUUCUCAAAAUAGCAAACUACAACUCCUUGAUUCUUGUGUUUGCCAAAAGAUGAUUGUAUAUGAUUACUGUAUGGUUAGACUGGGUAGGACCUGUAGAGUAGUAUUGUCUAUUUGCACUUGUAGGCAUAUGUAUGUAUUUCAAAAGUUGUACCCUCAACUAUAACUCUUGUAUUUCUAUUUUUUCCAACAAUUUGUAAUUCAAAACUUAAAUUUCCUUGCACUUUAA